AAAACAGGCCACAGGGCCCGUAUCUAUGGGACAUUACAUAACUCUAUCCUGUUCACAUCUCCAUUACUCUUCUCUCCUCUCCCCAAGUCAGCCUAAGAAGAUGUCUUCUACUUGAGUGUCAAGGAAGCCCCCUAUCCUUCAAGGUGCUUCUUUUCAAUGUCCUAUCCAUGCCCAAUACCCAAAGUAGCUCUAUUAUCCUGAGAAGAAGAAGCCAGGAAGAACCUUUCUGCUCUGCUUUUCAACCUGUCAUGAACUUCCCCUAAGGAAAUAAGCACAGAGGAUGAUCUUACUUGAAGGGAGAAGGAGAGUGCCAGCCAGAGAAAAGCAGGAUGCUGCCAGAGCAUGGCUUGAUGUGUGAUGUGUAGUUCCACACCCGGGAUCCAAACCCACAAACCCUGGGCUGCUGAAGGUUGGCCAGGGUGAGCCUCAUUGACAAGCUGAGAUUUGAGAGAAGACUCAAAAGGUAUGGAGCCAGCCAAGAAGAUAGCAGAAUUUCAGAGCCAAGAGCAGAAGCGGGAGCCAUGCUGGAAGAGUAUUGCAGUAACUGAG
This 549-nucleotide long non-coding RNA is filed under the name Equus caballus (horse). RNAcentral describes it as "lncRNA (ENSECAG00000058024.1)". Lineage: Eukaryota; Metazoa; Chordata; Mammalia; Perissodactyla; Equidae. The record is from RNAcentral.